This 338-nucleotide small RNA is filed under the name Histoplasma capsulatum. RNAcentral's name for it is "hypothetical RNA". Lineage: Eukaryota; Fungi; Ascomycota; Eurotiomycetes; Onygenales; Ajellomycetaceae. The record is from RNAcentral. RNAcentral also lists the same sequence under 1 other name.
CGGGUAGUGGCAAGGACGUCACCGCGGCAAUCACGGACUAAAAACCAGUUACGGGAAGCCCGGGUUUGGGCAUAAUCCACAUUAUCCCGCCGCAACAAAAACCAGAGCAAAGUGCUGGAGCCUGUGUAGAUGGAAGGAAAUACGGUGAAUGGAUCAGGCCUCUAAUAGAGGUUGUCCAUCAACCACACCAAAUAUACGAUACGAAGCUCCAAUAUUAAUGAUAUCCAAUCAAUUAUUCCUAGGGAUCGAGCUAUUUUUACAGGUAUAGUACAUGUACAUACAUCAACUUAACUUAAAAAUCACAGAUAUUCCCAUCAUCCGACAUCCAAUGAUAGGCC